Molecule: long non-coding RNA, 1086 nt
Filed under: Canis lupus familiaris (dog)
Lineage: Eukaryota; Metazoa; Chordata; Mammalia; Carnivora; Canidae
Description: lncRNA (ENSCAFG00040022010.1)
Source: RNAcentral
AUGCGACGCCCGGUCCCCUGGGCUUCCCUGGGAGGGGCGGGCGCCCAGGGAUGCCGGAAGCCCCGGGUUUCCCAUGACUUGAUCUGGAAGGAGCCUGGGCCUCCGUCCCCACGGGGCUCUGGCCUGUGGCCCGGGCUCUGGGCGGGGGGCUGGGCGGGAGCUGCCCCUGCUCCUGUCCUCCCUUGGGUCCCCUUGGAGGCCUGGCUGCCGGAGCCCAGCUGCUUGCCUGGAGCCUGGCCCCACAGAGGGGGCUCCAGCACCUGGGGGGGGGGGACAGUGCGCCCGGGGCUGGGGCCGGCCCUUGCAUUCGGCUUCAGCUCCGCCUCCCCUGCCGGCCGGCCCAGCUCCCCGUGCCUUGGCUUCCUUGUCUGUAAAAUGGACUUAGGACAGUCCUCACCUUCCAGAGCACAGUGGGAGCAGCCGUGCGUGGGCCGCGAGGUGCGCAGCGGAGGCCCGCCACCAACCUGGGAGGCCCGCCGGGAGGAGGCUGCGGUCCGGCCUCUUCGAAAGGGCCUGCCUCCGGCCCCAGGGGCUGUGGUGACAGUGCUGAGCCUCCCCUGGAGGAGUGUCGCCCUCCCUAGGGGGCGGGGGCUGCAGCCUGGCUGGCCCUGCUCUGGGCCCCAGCUGAUGACUGAGUCGCCGACUUCUGCUGAUCCGUGGGAAGCAGAGAGGACGGGGAGCGGGGAGUGGUUUCUCUUCCCAGCCUCUGCUCCGGGGGAGCUCUGGACGCCAGGGGGGGGGUUGGAGGCGCUGGGUCCUGGCGGGGCUCCGGGGCCAGGCCACCUGCCCCUCUCACCCGUUUCACACCUCGUCACUGUUCGUCCGGACACCUGUCCGCAGCCCGGACCCCGGGGCCCCGCUGACAACGGAGAAGCUCGAGGCCUGCGGCCCGGGAACCCCUGGGCGGGCGCUCCUGGCAGCGGCUCCCAGGACGCGGGCUUCAAGGUCAGGCUGACGCUGGCCGACCUUGAGAGCCCCCCAGCUCUCGGCAGGCUCAGCGAGCUCCAUCCCAUUAAGAAGCCGUUAGGAGCGCCAUCUGGUUCACUGCGCCCCGCUCCGCGAUCGAUGGCCGCUGGGCCAGUCUGA